CGCCAGUUUUGGCGGAGCCAUCCUUGGGAUACCACCCUUGUAGUACUGGGACUCUAACCAUAGGCCAUGAAUCUGGUCUUGGGACACUGUCAGGUGGGCAGUUUGACUGGGGCGGUCGCCUCCCAAAAGGUAACGGAGGCGCUCAAAGGUUCUCUCAGUACGGUCGGAAAUCGUACGUAGAGUGUAAAGGCAAAAGAGAGCUUGAUUGCAAGACAUACAGGUCGAGCAAGGAUGAAAAUCGGACUUAGUGAUCCGGUGGUUCUGCGUGGAAGGGCCAUCGCUCAACGGAUAAAAGCUACCCUGGGGAUAACAGGCUUAUCUCCCCCAAGAGUCCACAUCGACGGGGAGGUUUGGCACCUCGAUGUCGGCUCAUCACAUCCUGGGGCUGUAGUAGGUCCCAAGGGUUGGGCUGUUCGCCCAUUAAAGUGGUACGCG
This 435-nucleotide ribosomal RNA is filed under the name Clostridioides difficile. Its description in RNAcentral is "partial 23S ribosomal RNA". It matches the Rfam family "Bacterial large subunit ribosomal RNA", at positions 2169 to 2602 of the family's 2925-position model. The record is from RNAcentral. Lineage: Bacteria; Bacillati; Bacillota; Clostridia; Peptostreptococcales; Peptostreptococcaceae.